RNAcentral lists this ribosomal RNA (434 nucleotides) under uncultured Synergistaceae bacterium. RNAcentral describes it as "bacterial SSU rRNA". It matches the Rfam family "Bacterial small subunit ribosomal RNA", at positions 950 to 1382 of the family's 1533-position model. Lineage: Bacteria; Thermotogati; Synergistota; Synergistia; Synergistales; Synergistaceae. The record is from RNAcentral.
UUCGAUGAUACGCGAGGAACCUUACCUGGGCUCAAAUGUAUGUGACGUAUUCUGAAAGGGAUACUUCUUCGGACAAUAUACAAGGUGCUGCAUGGCUGUCGUCAGCUCGGUGCCCGUGAGGUGUUGGGUUAAGUCCCCGUAACGAGCGCAACCCUUGUCCUUAGUUACCAGCACGGUUAUGGUGGGCACUCUAAGGAGACUGCCGGUGACAAACCGGAGGAAGGUGGGGAUGACGUCAAGUCAUCAUGGCCCUUAUGUCCAGGGCGACACACGUGCUACAAUGGCCGGCACAACGGGAAGCGAGUUCGCGAGGACGAGCGGAUCCCUUAAAGCCGGUCGCAGUUCGGAUUGAAGUCUGCAACUCGACUUCAUGAAGCUGGAAUCGCUAGUAAUCGUGGAUCAGCCAAGCCGCGGUGAAUACGUUCCCGGGCCUU